This is a long non-coding RNA of Cyprinus carpio (common carp), 426 nucleotides long. RefSeq lists it as uncharacterized. The transcript has 3 exons. The record is from RefSeq and is a predicted model, not a curated record. NCBI's taxonomy places the organism in Eukaryota, Metazoa, Chordata, Actinopteri, Cypriniformes, Cyprinidae.
UUUUAAUACGAAACUUCAUUUACAGUACAUACCUUUUCCUGUUUUUGCCCUUACUUUAGCUAGAGCUAUACAUAAAAACAGCAGUAACAUUUUACAUACGACGAAAUGGCAGCCAGCCUCAAGCGGCCAGUCGAUGAAUUGCAGCUCACGAGAGAGAGAGCGGGAGGUUGCGGCUCGGUUGCAACCAUAGACUGUAGGUUGCAAUCUGUUUUUAUACAGUCAGUCUAUGGUUGCAACGCUGGGUUGUUUCAGGCCAGCGCUGGGUUAUUUAACGCGCCUUGAAGAUGUUUAAAUCGCUCCGGUGACUGUCAUUUUGGAAGGACAACGGGGCAAAGCCACUGGUUUCAACUGUUGUAAGGAGAGCACAUGGAUGCAUUUAUGAGAGAAAAACAAAUCGAAUGCAGUUUUAUCAAGACGUCUAACGGU